AUGAUUCGUGGGACGUCCUGCCGGUGGUGGCGAGUCGAAGGCGUGCUCCCGUUGUGGUUCCCCACUUCGGUUCUUGCGCGCCCGAGGCGGACCCCGAUGAAAUCCUACCGCGGUGCUCUUCGCCGAGUGUCGAGGUGGGCCGGCACGUUUACUUUGAACAAAUUAGAGUGCUUAAAGCAGGCCUGUUGCGCCUGAAUACUGUGUGCAUGGAAUAAUGGAAUAGGACCUCGGUUCUAUUUUGUUGGUUUUCGGAACCCGAGGUAAUGAUUAAUAGGGACAGGCGGGGGCAUUCGUAUUGCGACGUUAGAGGUGAAAUUCUUGGAUCGUCGCAAGACGGACCGAAGCGAAAGCAUUUGCCAAGUAUGUUUUCAUUAAUCAAGAACGAAAGUUAGAGGUUCGAAGGCGAUCAGAUACCGCCCUAGUUCUAACCAUAAACGAUGCCAGCUAGCGAUCCGCCGAAGUUCCUCCGAUGACUCGGCGGGCAGCUCCCGGGAAACCAAAGCUUUUGGGUUCCGGGGGAAGUAUGGUUGCAAAGCUGAAACUUAAAGGAAUUGACGGAAGG
RNAcentral lists this ribosomal RNA (562 nucleotides) under Isophya modesta. Its description in RNAcentral is "SSU rRNA". It matches the Rfam family "Eukaryotic small subunit ribosomal RNA", at positions 720 to 1163 of the family's 1831-position model. The record is from RNAcentral. Lineage: Eukaryota; Metazoa; Arthropoda; Insecta; Orthoptera; Tettigoniidae.